AUUGAACGCUGGCGGCAUGCCUUACACAUGCAAGUCGAACGGUAACAGGGAGCUUGCUCCGCUGACGAGUGGCGAACGGGUGAGUAAUGCAUCGGAACGUACCCAGUAGUGGGGGAUAACGCAGCGAAAGCUGUGCUAAUACCGCAUACGCACUGAGGUGGAAAGCAGGGGACCUUCGGGCCUUGUGCUAUUGGAGCGGCCGAUGUCAGAUUAGCUAGUUGGUGGGGUAAAAGCGCACCAAGGCGACGAUCUGUAGCUGGUCUGGGAGGAUGGCCAGCCACACUGGGACUGAGACACGGCCCAGACUCCUACGGGAGGCAGCAGUGGGGAAUUUUGGACAAUGGGGGCAACCCUGAUCCAGCCAUGCCGCGUGAGUGAAGAAGGCCUUCGUGUUGUAAAGCUCUUUCGGCCGGGAAGAAAUCGCCAUCUCUAACAUAGGUGGUGGAUGACGGUACCGGAAUAAGAAGCACCGGCUAACUACGUGCCAGCAGCCGCAGUAA
Molecule: ribosomal RNA, 500 nt
Filed under: uncultured bacterium
Lineage: Bacteria
Description: partial 16S ribosomal RNA
Rfam family: Bacterial small subunit ribosomal RNA
Source: RNAcentral